RNAcentral lists this ribosomal RNA (824 nucleotides) under bacterium. RNAcentral's name for it is "bacterial SSU rRNA". It matches the Rfam family "Bacterial small subunit ribosomal RNA", at positions 24 to 863 of the family's 1533-position model. The record is from RNAcentral.
UCAGGACGAACGCUGGCGGCGUGCUUAACACAUGCAAGUCGAACGAUGAAGCCCUUCGGGGUGGAUUAGUGGCGAACGGGUGAGUAACACGUGGGCAAUCUGCCCUUCACUCUGGGACAAGCCCUGGAAACGGGGUCUAAUACCGGAUAUCACUCUCGCAGGCAUCUGUGAGGGUCGAAAGCUCCGGCGGUGAAGGAUGAGCCCGCGGCCUAUCAGCUUGUUGGUGAGGUAAUGGCUCACCAAGGCGACGACGGGUAGCCGGCCUGAGAGGGCGACCGGCCACACUGGGACUGAGACACGGCCCAGACUCCUACGGGAGGCAGCAGUGGGGAAUAUUGCACAAUGGGCGAAAGCCUGAUGCAGCGACGCCGCGUGAGGGAUGACGGCCUUCGGGUUGUAAACCUCUUUCAGCAGGGAAGAAGCGAAAGUGACGGUACCUGCAGAAGAAGCGCCGGCUAACUACGUGCCAGCAGCCGCGGUAAUACGUAGGGCGCAAGCGUUGUCCGGAAUUAUUGGGCGUAAAGAGCUCGUAGGCGGCUUGUCACGUCGGGUGUGAAAGCCCGGGGCUUAACCCCGGGUCUGCAUUCGAUACGGGCUAGCUAGAGUGUGGUAGGGGAGAUCGGAAUUCCUGGUGUAGCGGUGAAAUGCGCAGAUAUCAGGAGGAACACCGGUGGCGAAGGCGGAUCUCUGGGCCAUUACUGACGCUGAGGAGCGAAAGCGUGGGGAGCGAACAGGAUUAGAUACCCUGGUAGUCCACGCCGUAAACGGUGGGAACUAGGUGUUGGCGACAUUCCACGUCGUCGGUGCCGCAGCUAACGCAUUAA